AUUGCCACGCCUCUCCAGCAACAAGCAACGAAAACAGCCACUAAAAGCAGAACACCAUUUUUACUCAUUAUCUAAAAGCGUCUAUCCCCUCCUCCACCCUCCCUAUCUCCUAUUAACGCGGAAGCCCCUCCGCCCUCCCACGUAAGAGCCUCACGUAUUUUUCUCCUUCUCUCACGUACGCGGCCUUUUCGGCGCCUGAUACUGUGAUCACGAGAAGAGAGGACGAAGAAGCGAAAACCCCCAUCGACUCCCUUCCCGUCUCGAAGAAAGAGAAAAAAAACGUAACGAUCUUCACCUCUUUACAGACUUGUGUGUGUGCGUGUGUGCGUGCGUGUGUUUUGUUUUGCUUCGUCGUGCUUUGAAGGCUUCCCGUUUUUCUGCCUGUCUGCGGAUUCGCUUCCUUCUACCUCCCCCCUUCUCCAUAUCCUCUCCCCACACCCAACCUCCCACAGAAAACAUCUUCAAGAUGCUCCGCUCCGCUGUGUGUCUUGCCGGCAAGGACGUGCGCUUCAGUGACAAGGCCCGCCGCUCCAUGCAGAAGGGCGUCACUCGCGCUGUGGCUGCGGUAGCGACGACGCUGGGGCCGAAGGGUCGCAACGUGAUCAUCGAGCAGGCCUACGGCGCGCCGAAGAUCACGAAGGAUGGCGUGACCGUUGCCAAGGCGAUCGAGUUCAAGGACCCCUUCGAGAACAUGGGUGCGCAGCUGGUACGCCAGGUGUGCAACAAGACGAACGACUUGGCUGGUGACGGCACCACGACCUCUGCGGUGCUUGUGGACAGCAUCUUCGGCGAGGGCCUCAAGUGCAUUGCCCAGGGCACGAACCCGAUCGACAUGAAGCGUGGCAUGGACCGUGCUGUGGAAGUGAUCCUAAAGAGCGUUGCCAAGCAGAGCCGCCCGAUCAAGGGAUCGGAGGACAUUGUCCAGGUUGCCACGAUCUCGGCCAACGGCGAUGAGGAGAUCGGCAAGAUGAUCGGUCAGGCGAUGGACAAGGUCGGCCGCGACGGCGUCAUUACGGCGCAGGACGGCAAGACGAUGGCCACUGAGCUGGAGGUUGUGGAGGGCAUGAGCGUGGACCGCGGCUAUGUGAGCCCAUACUUCGUGACGGAUGCGAAGGCGCAGAAGGCCGAGCUCGAGGAUGCGCUGGUGCUUAUGAGCGCCAAGAAGAUCCAGAGCAUUCACAGCCUUCUCCCAGCUCUCAACCACGUCGUGCGCAGCGGCCGCCCGCUUCUAAUCAUUGCCGACGACGUGGAGAGCGAGGCGCUGACGACACUGAUCUUCAACAAGUUGCAGGGCAAGCUGAAGGUGUGCUGCGUCAAGGCGCCGGGCUUCGGCGAUAACAAGACCGCCAUGCUUCAAGAUAUGUCCGUCUUUACUGGCGCGCAGCUGGUCGGUGAUGAAGGCACGGGGCUCGAGCUGGAUGCCGAAAACUUCGACCCCUCCAUCCUCGGCUCUGUCAAGAAGGUGACAGUGACAAAGGACGACACAGUGAUGCUGAACGGCGGCGGCGAUGCGGCGGCGGUGAAGGAGCGUGUUGAGCUCCUCCGCGAGCUCAUCAAGAACGAGACGAGCGACUACAAUCGUGACAAGCUGAAGGAGCGUCUGGCGAAGCUGAGCGGCGGCGUGGCCGUCAUCAAGGUGGGCGGCGGCUCGGAAGUGGAGGUGAACGAGAAGAAGGACCGCAUCGAGGAUGCCCUGUGCUCCACUCGCGCUGCGGUGCAGGAGGGUAUCGUGGCCGGCGGUGGCACGGCUCUGCUGCGCGCCAGCAAGGAGCUGGAGGCUCUCGCCAACGACUCUUCCCUCACCCGCGAUCAGCGCACGGGUGUGACCAUCGUGCGUAAUGCCAUCCGGCUGCCGGCUAUGAAGAUUGCCGCGAACGCUGGCAAGGAGGGUGCGGUUAUUGUGGAGAAGGUGCUUGAGGCUUCCGAGGAGAGCGUCGGCUACGAUGCGCAGAACGACAGGUACGUGAACAUGUUCGAGGCUGGCAUCAUCGACCCCACCCGCGUCGUGCGUGUGGCCAUCAGCGAUGCGACGUCUGUGGCGAGUCUGAUGAUGACGGCCGAGGCCGCCAUUGUUGAGCUGCCCAAGGACGAUUCCGCUGCCGCGCCGAUGGGCGACAUGGGCGGUAUGGGUGGUAUGGGCGGCAUGGGCUUCUAGGCACGGUGAGUAUACCUUCCUACACCCUACUUCUGCUAUCCGAGCCUCUGUGUGUGUGUGUGUGUGUGCCGCGAGUGUUGCCGAGCUGUGCUUGGGCUGCUCUCUCUUGGCUAACGUGGGGGUGCCCAUGAAGUCAAGAAGUGGAAAGACGCUGCGCUACUCUCUCACAGAAACGGGCUCGCAUAAACACGCUCACACUCACACGCCGUCUAUGGCGUAGAAGUAAGACAAACAAGGAAGAUACCAUCAUGCGAGGGGAGAAGACAGGAGGGCCAGAAACCAGAACAGACAGACGACCGAGGGUAGGAAGGAAAGACGAUGAAUUCAAGGAGUGGAUGUGGAGGGUGGAGCUCUUUACAGAAAGUGGCAACACAGCGAAUGCGAAGGAAACCUUUUUGUCGCCGCAUAGACACAGCACGUUGAGGGAGGCGCGCAAGCACCCUUUGGCGCAACUCCGACUGAUGUGGAUGCGCCGAUGGAGGGAGAGAGAGCGCGGUGGCCGGAUCAGCGAACGGGCAGCUUUGGUGGAUGCUGUGCGCCGAGUUUCAUCUCUUUGUUGUCGCUUUCAUCUGAUGCCGGUGCCCUCCCUGUUACGCAAAUUUCUUCUUUCCUCCUUCACUCAAACCUCUCAGGCACGCCGCCGUUUCCUUUUUUGUGUCUUGCGCUCAUGGUGCGUCUUUCCCCCUUCUCUUGGUUACACGUGUCUCCUCUCUCUCCUUCUUCGACGUGAUCGCCUUUUGGUGACGAAGGGACUGUGAAGGAACGCGUGAAAGCCGGGGGAAGGGGAGGGAAACUGGCGGCGGACGAGGGGAGGGAGAUGGGGGCGGGGCGAUCGACGGAGGGGAGGCAGCAAGGAGGCCAGAAUGGCCGUGGAGUAGCGGUGAAAAUGCCACUAGUGCCCCUCCACUUCAAGCUCGUUGAGCGCCAUCACUGCUCGUUUCCUUCGUUCUUGUCCAAGCCACUGCUGCUCAAAAGCAUUGCUACACGCUCCUAAUGAGCGAGUGAAACAAAUACACACGAAAAACAAAAGUGGCAAUGCUCUUCUUGUCGGUAGUUGCCCCCCUCCCUCCCUGCCCCCUCUCUCUCUCUGUGCGGCAUAUCUUCCGUGCAGCUGUGUUGCAUUUUGUUGUUCGCUUCUCCUUUCACUAAUGUCGAGCCCUCUUCACAGACGUCACCGAUCUGCUCAUCUCGUUUUCUCUCUCUGUGCGUAUGCUCUCUAUCUUUGGUUCGUCUUUUUUUUCUAGCUCUGUGUCUCUCUUGUCGCAUGCUUGUGUGGGCCGUCUCGCAGCGGGGACUGCUGCGUGCGUUGUCAUGACACGGCACGAGGGAGGAAGUGUGGGGGAGAAGGCAGUCGAAGAGACGGUGGACGUGAUACUCAAGACAAAAAAGGAGACGCAUAUGGUGUCUUCCCUUUAACAUGCACCGAAUCCUUCCUCCAUCCCCUUCUUUUCCUUUCCAUUGUGUCCGCUAACCCUAAUUGCAUUGCAUUGCGAGCGUAAAGCAAGUCGCAGGAGCCACACUUGCAUACACACACACACAAGGAGAGAGAGAUCCCUCCUCGUCUUUUUCGUUCGUUUUUUUUUAUGUUUCCCCUUUCCAUUGUUUCCCUUUUUUUGGUUGUUUCCGGCUGUCUCUCUUCCCCCUCCCCCUACCUCCCCCUCUGUUUCGUUUUUCUUUGUAUUCGCCCAGCGCGGGGGUGGGGGGAAGGAGGGAGGGGGAGAGGGGGGUAGUGUGUCUUCGCUAUUUUUGUCACGGUGUCUUCUCGCUUCAGUUUCUUUGUGUGCGUGCGCGGCGUUUCCGUUUGCUCGACAUACGCUAGAACAUGUGUGUGUGUGUAUGUAUGUGCAACUGCCACCACCACCGCCAACGCGAGGACGCGUGUGGACACAGUACACAUAUACAAGAAGGAUAACAGAAGACAAGAAAAGGGAAAGCACAAGCAUGUGCGCACACAUCGAAACACGCGCAGAGCGGGGUGAGACGCAAAUUUUACGAUGCCACACGAAUAGAAGAAAAAAGGUGCAGUACCGGCUACGCAUACGGGCAACGCAUGCACGCUGCGUACCUGUCCAAGGCUGAGCCUGUGAUGAAUGUGCGCAGGAUCUGCUUAGUGGUGUCUCUGUUGUGCGUGCAGCGCAUCCUUUUUCCUCUCUCCUUUUCUUUGCGCGCACGCAGACGUGUGUCUUUCUGUGUUUGUGUGCGAGGUGUUUUGCGCUACAUGUGUGCUCAUUCCCCUCCAGUUGGUCAGGGUUCGUCAACGCAGAGAGACCGAAAGAAGAAAUGAAGUUAACUAAACAACAGGCAGACGAAAAAAAAAGGAACUUC
Molecule: unclassified non-coding RNA, 4480 nt
Filed under: Leishmania donovani
Lineage: Eukaryota; Euglenozoa; Kinetoplastea; Trypanosomatida; Trypanosomatidae
Description: gene:LdHU3.36.2780(CDS-product:chaperonin_HSP60_m itochondrial_precursor)
Source: RNAcentral